Molecule: ribosomal RNA, 705 nt
Filed under: Pseudomonas sp.
Lineage: Bacteria; Pseudomonadati; Pseudomonadota; Gammaproteobacteria; Pseudomonadales; Pseudomonadaceae
Description: bacterial SSU rRNA
Rfam family: Bacterial small subunit ribosomal RNA
Source: RNAcentral
ACACAUGCAAGUCGAGCGGAUGAGAAGAGCUUGCUCUUCGAUUCAGCGGCGGACGGGUGAGUAAUACCUAGGAAUCUGCCUGAUAGUGGGGGACAACGUUUCGAAAGGAACGCUAAUACCGCAUACGUCCUACGGGAGAAAGCAGGGGACCUUCGGGCCUUGCGCUAUCAGAUGAGCCUAGGUCGGAUUAGCUAGUUGGUGAGGUAAUGGCUCACCAAGGCUACGAUCCGUAACUGGUCUGAGAGGAUGAUCAGUCACACUGGAACUGAGACACGGUCCAGACUCCUACGGGAGGCAGCAGUGGGGAAUAUUGGACAAUGGGCGAAAGCCUGAUCCAGCCAUGCCGCGUGUGUGAAGAAGGUCUUCGGAUUGUAAAGCACUUUAAGUUGGGAGGAAGGGCAGUAAGCGAAUACCUUGCUGUUUUGACGUUACCGACAGAAUAAGCACCGGCUAACUCUGUGCCAGCAGCCGCGGUAAUACAGAGGGUGCAAGCGUUAAUCGGAAUUACUGGGCGUAAAGCGCGCGUAGGUGGUUCGUUAAGUUGGAUGUGAAAUCCCCGGGCUCAACCUGGGAACUGCAUCCAAAACUGGCGAGCUAGAGUAGGGCAGAGGGUGGUGGAAUUUCCUGUGUAGCGGUGAAAUGCGUAGAUAUAGGAAGGAACACCAGUGGCGAAGGCGACCACCUGGGCUCAUACUGACACUGAGG